GUGGGGAAUAUUGGACAAUGGGGGGAACCCUGAUCCAGCCAUGCCGCGUGUGUGAAGAAGGCCUUUUGGUUGUAAAGCACUUUAAGCGAGGAGGAGGCUACCGAGAUUAAUACUCUUGGAUAGUGGACGUUACUCGCAGAAUAAGCACCGGCUAACUCCGUGCCAGCAGCCGCGGUAAUACAGAGGGUGCAAGCGUUAAUCGGAUUUACUGGGCGUAAAGCGCGCGUAGGUGGCCAAUUAAGUCAAAUGUGAAAUCCCCGAGCUUAACUUGGGAAUUGCAUUCGAUACUGGUUGGCUAGAGUAUGGGAGAGGAUGGUAGAAUUCCAGGUGUAGCGGUGAAAUGCGUAGAGAUCUGGAGGAAUACCGAUGGCGAAGGCAGCCAUCUGGCCUAAUACUGACACUGAGGUGCGAAAGCAUGGGGAGCAAACAGGAUUAGAUACCCGUGUAGUCC
Molecule: ribosomal RNA, 451 nt
Filed under: uncultured bacterium
Lineage: Bacteria
Description: partial 16S ribosomal RNA
Rfam family: Bacterial small subunit ribosomal RNA
Source: RNAcentral